This is a long non-coding RNA of Propithecus coquereli (Coquerel's sifaka), 381 nucleotides long. RefSeq lists it as uncharacterized. The record is from RefSeq and is a predicted model, not a curated record. Lineage: Eukaryota; Metazoa; Chordata; Mammalia; Primates; Indriidae. The transcript is spliced from 2 exons.
AGGCUAGAGCCUUUGGCGGCGGGAGGAGAAGGGGCUUCGUCCCACCGCCAUCUUUGCUGGAAUUGAACAGCUUGGGCUUGGAAACAGUGAGUUAAAAAAGAAAUAAGAAGGUGGCAGAAAAAAGACCACAGCAGAUUGAAAAGUGUUGGAUAGUCAUAUGCACCCAGCAUCUCAGAAUGUGACCAUGGGAAGAUAGAGGCAGAGGCUGGAGUGCUGCAUCUACAAUCCAAGGAACACUAAGGAUUGUAGGUGAUCACCAGAAGCUGGAAGAGACAAGAAAGGAUCCUUCCCUAGAGCCUUCAGAGAGAGCGUGGCCCUGCCAACACCUUGAUUUCAGACUUCUGGCCUCUAGAAUUGUGAGAGAAUAAAUUUCUGUUGUUA